Molecule: ribosomal RNA, 253 nt
Filed under: uncultured bacterium
Lineage: Bacteria
Description: partial 16S ribosomal RNA
Rfam family: Bacterial small subunit ribosomal RNA
Source: RNAcentral
UACGUAGGGAGCAAGCGUUGUCCGGAAUCACUGGGCUUAAAGGGCGCGUAGGCGGCUGCUCAAGUCGGGGGUGAAAUCUUUCAGCUCAACUGGAAAAUAGCCUCCGAUACUGGGUAGCUCGAGGGAGAUAGGGGCAUGCGGAACUUCCGGUGGAGCGGUGAAAUGCGUAGAUAUCGGAAGGAACGCCGGUGGCGAAAGCGGCGUGCUGGAUCUCUUCUGACGCUGAUGCGCGAAAGCCAGGGGAGCAAACGGG